GACGAACGCUGGCGGCGUGCUUAACACAUGCAAGUCGAGCGGAAAGGCCCUUUCGGGGUACUCGAGCGGCGAACGGGUGAGUAACACGUGAGCAACCUGCCCCGGACUCUGGGAUAACAGUUGGAAACAGCUGCUAAUACCGGAUACGAGCUGCGAAGGCAUCUUCAGCAGCUGGAAAGAACUUCGGUCUGGGAUGGGCUCGCGGCCUAUCAGCUUGUUGGUGAGGUAAUGGCUCACCAAGGCGUCGACGGGUAGCCGGCCUGAGAGGGUGACCGGCCACACUGGGACUGAGACACGGCCCAGACUCCUACGGGAGGCAGCAGUGGGGAAUAUUGCACAAUGGGCGCAAGCCUGAUGCAGCAACGCCGCGUGAGGGACGACGGCCUUCGGGUUGUAAACCUCUUUUAGCAAGGAAGAAGCGAAAGUGACGGUACUUGCAGAAAAAGCGCCGGCUAACUACGUGCCAGCAGCCGCAGUAAAAC
Molecule: ribosomal RNA, 482 nt
Filed under: uncultured bacterium
Lineage: Bacteria
Description: bacterial SSU rRNA
Rfam family: Bacterial small subunit ribosomal RNA
Source: RNAcentral